CUUUUCAGCUCAGGCCAUAUACCAGUGUCAAGUAUUCCAAUUAUUACCUGGCUUAGUUGAUCAGAAGCAGUGUAUCUGCUUCUUGGAGAGUUAGCCGUGUCGAAAAGCCGUGUGCUACAUUCUUGUAAGUGUAGAGCAUCUCAGCAGAAGCAGAUACUGAUUUUAGUGAUGAAUCAUACCAAUUGAGGUGAUCAUUGAAAGUUGAUGGCAUAGUGGACUUGUCCAUGUGAAUUAUGUAUGUUUUUUUGGCCUGCUGUGUUUUCUUUUCUGCUAUGGUGUAUCUGGCACAGAAAACCAACAGCAAAACAAUUUGAAGAAACUUGAAAAUCAGCAUUUUCAUCCUUUUUAUUGUGAAUACUUUCCCAAAUUUGUUUGUGCUUCAAGAAAUGCAGGGAUAUAAGAUGUAUGUGCAAAUAUUCUUUUACUGCUAUGAUAGUAAUGGGAAUGGGACAUAUAAUAGCGUUGUCCUCUAAACAACAAAUAAAUGUAUUCCAUAUAAAAAGUAAUUAAGAAAAGUUUUACUAAAGUGGAGUAAUAAUCUUUUAUGAGUGCUUAGAGCAUCAUCAACAAAUAGGAACUUUUUAGACCCCCUUUAAAAAAGAACUAGUUAAGUCUAGUUUAUUUCUUUGUGGUACUACCUUGUUCUUUCUUGAGGC
This is a non-coding RNA of Lupinus albus (white lupine), 656 nucleotides long. NCBI's taxonomy places the organism in Eukaryota, Viridiplantae, Streptophyta, Magnoliopsida, Fabales, Fabaceae. The record is from the annotation of a GenBank genome assembly.